Sapajus apella (tufted capuchin) is the source of this 3515-nucleotide long non-coding RNA. RefSeq lists it as uncharacterized. The transcript is spliced from 3 exons. The record is from RefSeq and is a predicted model, not a curated record. Lineage: Eukaryota; Metazoa; Chordata; Mammalia; Primates; Cebidae.
GCCCCCCAGAGCAAGUGAGACAAUCCCAAGGAAGGCAGGUGGCUCAGCAGCCACACAGCAGGGGAAUGUGCAGCCCCUAGGGGAAGGAAGCAGCGCCCAGCCCUGGGGAUUAUUUUCUAUCAGAACUUAAAGAGUAAAGCAGUUUGCAAAGUUGAAGAGUAGUUGAGAUCUCAUGCGUUUGAAAGCAAUCCCUGUACAAAACACCAAGAGAAUUUAUAGAAACAUUAGGAGGCAGCAGCCUCCCUGUUGAUAAGAGUUCCCUCUCAAAUAAAAUCCACAUGUUAUUUAUGUUCUUUGACUCAUCUGUUAGCUCCCUAUAGAUAUUGAGAUAUAAGAAUAAUCUGUUAGUAAUAUUAUUCCAUUUGGAGCAGAUUCUUUGUUCUUAAGCUAAAAAGUGACUAUGGGAGAGAUCCACCAGGAGGUAUUAAGGACUCGAGUAGCUUGGAUGAAGACGGGAGAGGCAGCACAUAGAAGUCAUCCACACAAGAUUGCAAAAACAGGAGAGCUAUGUCUCUAGGAAGGCUUUAUUGCUUUUCAAUAAUGUGAUAACGUUCCUAUAAAAGUAAUUUAUAAACAGACUCAAGGCAACGCUGGGAAGCGGAGCCUGUGGGUUUUAGAGAAGAACCCACAAGCUCCAUCCGGGAAUUGUAUUGAGUUUGUUUUUCACAGUUGAGGUCGCCGCUCUUUGCUCUCAGAUUUCAAAGUGAGAGGCACUGGCUGCUUUCUAAUGCAGGGGCAGCAGCCCGGCUAUGAGCUCUGUGAGUCAGGAGGGAAGCUAGAGAAUUUCUACAUCCCCAGGUUCAAAACUGUGCAGGGCCAGGUGAUUGCCAGGAGCUUUGUGUUCAGUGAGGUGAUGCUCUCAGGGCAGGAGGCUGGUGCACACGGGCCUCCUCGGGGACCCAGGGACUGGGAGCAGGCAGGCUCCACAGGUUGGCCUUUGCCUUUACUCACUGGCAUGCCUAGAUGUGGGAGUGGUUUCACAAAGGACAUGAAGUGAAAAAGGCAACUCUCAUCUUCUAUUUUAUGAUAGCAGCACUGUGAUUCUAACUUGGUGUCAGAUGGGAAACUGGAGUUUUUGGCUGAACAGGAAAAGGAAAGCCUCUCUAUUCGGUAACGUGUACCUUAGACCUCCAGAACUUGGGAGGUUAAGGCAUGUAUACCGCCAAGCCUGAGGACUGCAUGUGCAAAGGCCCUGAGCAGAGAGGAGUUUGGUUGGUUUUCAGCGAAGAGAGAAGGCUGGUGCGGCUGAAGCCUAUUGAGUGAGAGAGUCCAAAGACAAGACAGAGCCUCAGCCUUUAAGGUCUUGUGGGCCAUGCUAAGAGCUGAAGGAGGAGUGCUUGGUGCUGCAGUCGGAACUAUGAUGUGCUUUCUUCUGGCACCAUCAGGGCAGAUUCCCAGAGCUCUUCAAGAAAUGCAAGGAGGGCAGGGCUGUCUGAGACACUGACAAAACCCCCUUUAUGGGAUCAGAGGAGAUGGAGCAUCUGGCAUUUGACAAAACACUGGUUCACGUGAUGAAGUCACAUGGACUUUUGGAAAAGAACCUACUGCACUGCAGGUGUCCGAUGCCUGCCACAGCACAUGAGUCAGCAGGGAUGAACACUCUGAGAGAGUUCUGAAGCACAGAGGUUGGUGUGAGUUUAGAAAGAAAACACCUGAUCCUCCCACCUCGUGGGAAUUCCUAUUGUGGUCUCAGCCAGGUAGCAUCCGUACCAUUUAAUAGAUUUAUAACAGCAGUUCUGUAUCAGAAACAGCAAGCUGGUCUGUGGUGACUGAGAUUCAUGAGGUCUCAGCUCAGUGCCACUGGAUACCUGUGCACCAAACUGGGGCAUAAAGCAUCGGCCCUGCCACCAGAAGCUAUGAAGGUAGAGCCAAGAUCACUGGGAACCCAAUAGAACAAAAGAACACCAUGAGAAAACAGGGUACUCUACUCGGCGGGGGCUGCCAUGACAAAGUACCAGACUGGGUGGCUGAAACAGCAGAAACAUAUGUCUCCCGUAGGUCUGGAGGCUGGAGUACAAGAUCAAGGCACUGUAUUUGCAGAUUCAGAUGCCACAGUUAUACUAACACAGAAAGAAGUUUGAGAAACGUUUUACAUUUCUAUUCUCUUUGGAGUUUACAUAAUGUAAAGAUUAUCCCAACCUCACAAGCUUAAAAAAAAUUAUCAAUAUUGCCACCACAGAGACAUUCUCGCCAUGUUCCUUUACCCUCAUCUCUAUGACUAUGAUUCUAUUCAGGUUUAAUGAUUCUUUAGCUAAUCACAGUAAUUUUUUUUCUAGGAAAUAGUUAAUUUUAACCAAUUAAUGUGGACAUGGUUUUCAUAUUUUCCAGUAAAUUUUGAAAUUUAUGUCUGUGCUUAGGUGCCCUUUUUCAUUCUUAGUUUUUCAUAUUUAUGCCUUCUCUCUUUAUUUCUUCUUUUAUACUAGUCAAGUAUAUUCAUAUAACUGGGGUUGAUGUUUCCCUAACAUGCCAGCUCCUGCACAUGUCUAGUUGUUAGGAAGCCCUUCAAUGGCAGAGAUGAUGAAAGAAACAAUGGGCCCACUGCUCUCUGGCUGCAGGCUCAGUGAGUUUAAUUUCAUGAGGCUCCAUGGGACGCAGACUUUGACAAGCUCCACAAAUUACUCUGACGCCAUUGUUUAUGAAUCACACAAUCCUAGAUUUCAAAGAAGCAUGUCACUGUACAUAUGGGACACAUUAGUAUAAAGCCAUAAAUUGGUGUUAAUAUCCUGAAUGAUCUGGACAAUUAAGGACAAUUUUUUUUUAUUGUUCUCAUCUGAUGAAAAUAAGCAGAGGAAUGGAAAACAAUCCCAUUAACAUUGAAUUGUAGAGCCAUUUUUGGAAGCUAUAAAAACAGUGGAAGAGAAAAGAAUCACUGAGGUGGACUUUUAGGGACUUUGCUUUUAACUCAAUGAGGAGCAAAGCCAAAUAUUUUAAAGAAGAGUACAAUCUAAUGGUAAUAGUUUCAGUGCUGAUUAGUUAUCAUCUGAUGCAUCAGUCAGAAUACCAUAAAGGGGAGGACCUAAAAAUAAACGCGUUGCUUCUGUUAGGGGAGCACUCUGACCUAGGUGUCCUGGCACGCAGUUGCCCUAGCGCACAUCAGCAGAGCUUUACUUCCUGGCAUUUGUUGUCAAGUGCCUUCUGAGCCAGAUCCUCUCUUGGAAGCUGUGGGCGUGAAGAUGCAUAAAACACAAGCUCAUACUAUUUGCUUCCCUUCACUGCCCUUCAUCAGCUUGCAGGACACCGUGUUUCCCUGGUGUGUGUCCCUAUUUGUGAUACAUGUUUGCCAGGUUUGUCAUCUUCAGUCCACAUCCACUGUGGUCAGCACUUGUCCUGCUCUCGUCUCCAGAAGACAUCCUAGUGUCUCGUGUCAGCAGUUCCCUAACAUGCUCUCAGGCAAGUCUCCUGACCAUCAAGCUGAGAGAGGACUCUUCGCCCAUCAUCUUGGCUCCCCUCCUUGUUUGUCAUGUUUAUAAUAGUAACCUGAACUGGGUUCGGGUACAUAAACUUUCUAGGCUUUA